UUGAAACUUUGUUCACUCCUUACGGGGGAGACAGUCAUGAGACGUGAGUAUAAGACCUGAGUGUAAAGACCUUAGGGUGAAGCAAUUGGAGGGCAAGCUUUGGUGCCAGCAGCCGCGGUAACUCCAACUCCAAGAGUGUCUAUGGUGGAUGCUGCAGUUAAAGGGUCCGUAGUCGUGAAUGCAAUUAAAUGUCGUUGUUCAAUAGCGAUGAGUUUGCUAAUGUUUGCGGAACGGAUAGGGAGUGUAGUAUAGACUGGCGAAGAAUGAAAUCUCAAGACCCAGUUUGGACUAACGGAGGCGAAGGCGACACUCUUAGACGUAUCUUAGGAUCAAGGACGAAGGCAGGAGUAUCGAAAGUGAUUAGACACCGCUGUAGUUCCUGCAGUAAACUAUGCCGACAGCCUGUGUGUGAGAAUACGUGGGCGGGAGAAAUCUUAGUGUUCGGGCUCUGGGGAUAGUACGCUCGCAAGGGUGAAACUUAAAGCGAAAUUGACGGAAGGACACUACCAGGAGUGGAUUGUGCUGCUUAAUUUAACUCAACGCGGGAAAACUUACCAGGGUCAAGUCAUUCGUUGAUCGAAUACGUGAGAAUGGCAGGAGGGGUUGCAUGGAAGGGG
Molecule: ribosomal RNA, 617 nt
Filed under: Enterocytozoon bieneusi
Lineage: Eukaryota; Fungi; Microsporidia; Enterocytozoonidae
Description: SSU rRNA
Rfam family: Microsporidia small subunit ribosomal RNA
Source: RNAcentral